Quercus lobata is the source of this 342-nucleotide long non-coding RNA. RefSeq lists it as uncharacterized. The record is from RefSeq and is a predicted model, not a curated record. The transcript is spliced from 2 exons. Lineage: Eukaryota; Viridiplantae; Streptophyta; Magnoliopsida; Fagales; Fagaceae.
UCAAGUUCCCAACCAUCAAACCUGGUUCAUUCCUUGUCAUAUCAGCAUCCGCUAUAGUACCAUUGCAAGCACCCUUCCUCAAUCCACAAAUGGAGGAGCUAAAUUUGGUAAUGGAGAGCUUCCUUCAAACCAAAUCUCAGUGCAUUAUAAGUUUCUAUAGCUUCUGAGCAACUAUUUGAGCUAAUUGGCUACAACUAUGAUCUUUAUUUGUAAAAUUACCAAGUAGUUGACGAGAAAAUUGUUGCAGAAAUAUUGAAUGUAAUUUUUAAGUAUUGAUAGCAUCGCAUUUUGGCAGACUUCGAAAUCUAAAAUUAUUUUGAAAUGCAGUCAUAACUUGCGGCU